UGCGUAGGUGGUCCGUUAAGUCAGUUGUGAAAUCCCCGGGCUCAACCCGGGAACUGCUUCUGAUACUGGCGGACCUGAGGCCGGUAGGGGUCACUGGAACAGACGGUGGAGCGGUGAAAUGCGUAGAUAUCGCCUGGAACGCCGGUGGUGAAGACGGGUGACUUGGCCGGUUCUGACACUGAGGCACGAAAGCGUGGGGAGCGAACG
Molecule: ribosomal RNA, 207 nt
Filed under: uncultured bacterium
Lineage: Bacteria
Description: partial 16S ribosomal RNA
Rfam family: Bacterial small subunit ribosomal RNA
Source: RNAcentral